This 253-nucleotide ribosomal RNA is filed under the name uncultured bacterium. RNAcentral describes it as "partial 16S ribosomal RNA". It matches the Rfam family "Bacterial small subunit ribosomal RNA", at positions 524 to 776 of the family's 1533-position model. The record is from RNAcentral.
UACAGAGGCUGCAAGCGUUAUUCGGAUUCACUGGGCGUAAAGGGUGCGCAGGCGGUCAGGUGUGUUAGGCGUGAAAGCCCGGGGCUUAACCCCGGAAUUGCACCUAAAACUACAUGGCUAGAGCAUUGGAGAGGGUAGCGGAAUUCACGGUGUAGCAGUGAAAUGCGUAGAUAUCGUGAGGAACACCAGAGGCGAAGGCGGCUACCUGGACAAUUGCUGACGCUGAGGCACGAAAGCGUGGGGAGCAAAAGGG